AGCAGCCGCGGUAAUUCCAGCUCCAAUAGCGUAUAUUAAAGUUGUUGCAGUUAAAAAGCUCGUAGUUGAACUUCGGGGUUCACCCAUUGGUCAGGCUUAAUUGUCUGCACUGGUGAGAUGAGUCUCUACCUUCUGAGGAACUUUCAUGCCAUUUAUUUGGUGUGGUUGGAAAUCAGGACUGUUACUUUGAAAAAAUUAGAGUGUUUAAAGCAGGCUAACGUCUGAAUACAUUAGCAUGGAAUAAUGAAAUAGGACGGACUGAUUCUAUUUCGUUGGUUUCUAGGAUCACCGUAAUGAUUAAUAGGGAUAGUUGGGGGCAUUAGUAUUCAAUUGUCAGAGGUGAAAUUCUUGGAUUUAUUGAAGACUAACUACUGCGAAAGCAUUUGCCAAGGAUGUUUUCAUUAAUCAAGAACGAAAGUUAGGGGAUCGAAGGCGAUCAGAUACCGCCCUAGUUCUAACCAUAAACGAUGCCAACCAGCGAUCAGCCAGAGUUCGUAAAA
RNAcentral lists this ribosomal RNA (500 nucleotides) under uncultured Diversispora. Its description in RNAcentral is "SSU rRNA". It matches the Rfam family "Eukaryotic small subunit ribosomal RNA", at positions 569 to 1071 of the family's 1831-position model. The record is from RNAcentral. Lineage: Eukaryota; Fungi; Glomeromycota; Glomeromycetes; Diversisporales; Diversisporaceae.